RNAcentral lists this ribosomal RNA (424 nucleotides) under Verrucomicrobiota bacterium. RNAcentral's name for it is "Verrucomicrobia bacterium partial 16S ribosomal RNA". It matches the Rfam family "Bacterial small subunit ribosomal RNA", at positions 355 to 776 of the family's 1533-position model. Lineage: Bacteria; Pseudomonadati; Verrucomicrobiota. The record is from RNAcentral.
UGAGGAAUAUUGGUCAAUGGGCGGUAGCCUGAACCAGCCAAGUAGCGUGCAGGAUGACGGCCCUAUGGGUUGUAAACUGCUUUUAUAUGGGAAUAAAGUGAGGGACGUGUCCCUUAUUGCAUGUACCAUAUGAAUAAGGACCGGCUAAUUCCGUGCCAGCAGCCGCGGUAAUACGGAAGGUCCAGGCGUUAUCCGGAUUUAUUGGGUUUAAAGGGAGCGUAGGCUGUUUGUUAAGCGUGUUGUGAAAUGUAAGAGCUCAACUUUUAGAUUGCAGCGCGAACUGGCAGACUUGAGUGCGCACAACGUAGGCGGAAUUCAUGGUGUAGCGGUGAAAUGCUUAGAUAUCAUGACGAACUCCGAUUGCGAAGGCAGCUUACGGGAGCGCAACUGACGCUAAAGCUCGAAGGUGCGGGUAUCGAACAGG